AUGCACGACACCUUGGGCGACGAGGCCUCCGGCGUCCGGUACCCGCUGCCGUCCCCCUGCUUACUACCGCCCCGCCUCCUGCCGCCGCCGCGCGCCUCGGGCGGCACGAUGGAGACCAUGGGGCCGGAGAAGGCGUUGCGGUGGUUGAAGGACGCCUUGCCGCCGCCGGCGGGGCGGGAGCCGAAGGUGGUGGCCGUGGAGGAGGAGAAGGAGGCCGCCGUGGACCUGAGGAAGGACGCCAGGGCGCCGCUCCUGGUCCUCGCGUGCUUCUUCGGCUUCCUCUCCAUCGCCUGCUUCUGCCGAGACCUGGACGCGCUAGCUAGCUAUAGAUUCUUGGUUGAUCAGCUCGAUGGAUGUUUGCCUUUUCAGCCUUGUCCCAUGUACGGUGUACUGGUCCUGGUUAUAUACGAGGGGCGUUGGCCGGGCACGGGAGGAGGAGGCUGGUUGGUGACGGAGUAA
This 459-nucleotide ribosomal RNA is filed under the name Triticum aestivum (bread wheat). Its description in RNAcentral is "partial small subunit ribosomal RNA". The record is from RNAcentral. Lineage: Eukaryota; Viridiplantae; Streptophyta; Magnoliopsida; Poales; Poaceae.